GAUCGCACUCCAACGCCCAAGUCAGUGACUGAACCACCAAUUACUAAGAGUAACACUCAAGAACUCUCAAGGAACCGUGAACCAGUUCUCUCUCAGUAUACUCAAGAACUCGCAAGCGUAAAGAAGACAAUCUGAACGUGCGUACCUCAGAAGUUCGUUGGGAAACCCUUAUAUACCUGGACACUUUCUCUCUCCUGGCAGUUACACAUNNN
This 212-nucleotide long non-coding RNA is filed under the name Phaseolus vulgaris (common bean). RNAcentral's name for it is "long non-coding RNA (PVUL_LNC002281)". The record is from RNAcentral. Lineage: Eukaryota; Viridiplantae; Streptophyta; Magnoliopsida; Fabales; Fabaceae.